Molecule: ribosomal RNA, 465 nt
Filed under: uncultured bacterium
Lineage: Bacteria
Description: partial 16S ribosomal RNA
Rfam family: Bacterial small subunit ribosomal RNA
Source: RNAcentral
GACGAACGCUGGCGGCGUGCUUAACACAUGCAAGUCGAACGGAAAGGCCCUGCUUGCAGGGUACUCGAGUGGCGAACGGGUGAGUAACACGUGGGUGAUCUGCGCUGCACUUCGGGAUAAGCCUGGGAAACUGGGGCUAAUACCGGAUAUGACCUUCCAUGUAGUGUGGGGGGGGGAAAGAUUUAUCGGUGUGGGAUGAGCCCGCGGCCUAUCAGCUUGUUGGUGGGGUAAUGGCCUACCAAGGCGUCGACGGGUAGCCGGCCUGAGAGGGUGGACGGCCACAUUGGGACUGAGAUACGGCCCAGACUCCUACGGGAGGCAGCAGUGGGGAAUAUUGCACAAUGGGCGGAAGCCUGAUGCAGCGACGCCGCGUGGGGGAUGACGGCCUUCGGGUUGUAAACCUCUUUCGACAGGGACGAAGCUUCGGUGACGGUACCUGUAUAAGAAGCACCGGCUAACUACGUG